GUCCACGCCGUAAACGUUGGGCACUAGGUGUGGGUUUCAACCAACGAAAUCCGCGCCGUCGCUAACGCAUUAAGUGCCCCGCCUGGGGAGUACGGCCGCAAGGUUAAAACUCAAAGGAAUUGACGGGGGCCCGCACAAGCAGCGGAGCGUGUUGCUUAAUUCGAUGCAACGCGAAGAACCUUACCUGGGCUUGACAUGUCGGGAAAAGCCGUAGAGAUACGGUGUCCUUCGGGGCCCGACACAGGUGGUGCAUGGCUGUCGU
RNAcentral lists this ribosomal RNA (262 nucleotides) under uncultured bacterium. RNAcentral's name for it is "partial 16S ribosomal RNA". It matches the Rfam family "Bacterial small subunit ribosomal RNA", at positions 793 to 1055 of the family's 1533-position model. The record is from RNAcentral.